Molecule: long non-coding RNA, 499 nt
Organism: Zophobas morio
Lineage: Eukaryota; Metazoa; Arthropoda; Insecta; Coleoptera; Tenebrionidae
Exons: 3
Source: RefSeq, a predicted model, not a curated record
UUUUGUUAGCUUUGAGCCUUUCAUUGUUUCCCUGAUGUCGGAUUCCGAGGACUCUUGUAGCGAACGCGACUCUUUGCAUCAUAGUGAGGGUGACAGUAAAAACUCUAGUAAGUCGUCUGUCAGAAAAAGAAAACAAUUGAAGAAAGAAGAUCAAAGAAAAGGAACUGCCUCUUCAGCCAAGAAAAGCAACAAAAAAAAAUUGUUUAUUACAAUUUUUUUGUUAGUUUUAAUUCUCUCAGGGUCUAUUCCUUACCUUUUUGUUGCUUACGAUUAUUUCCUAUCUUCUCAACUUGCUGCUAAUCUGGGUUUAGCAAAAAGCCCUUACAAUCGUGUGAUGGCCUUCUACAAAGCUUACAAUCCAGAAAAAGCUAAUGAUAAACAUGUGAAGCGUAUACUUUCUCUUUAUAAAGGAAAGCACAAGCAACUUUACUCGGCUUUAGAAAAACGUUAUAAGGUUCCUUCUGGAACUGUUUAGGCUCUUGCCGAACUCAACUCUUUU